RNAcentral lists this ribosomal RNA (405 nucleotides) under uncultured bacterium. RNAcentral describes it as "bacterial SSU rRNA". It matches the Rfam family "Bacterial small subunit ribosomal RNA", at positions 355 to 775 of the family's 1533-position model. The record is from RNAcentral.
UAAGGGAUAUUGCGACAAUGGGCGAAAGCCUGACGCAGCAACGCCGCGUGCGAGAGGAAGGCCUUCGGGUUGUAAACCGCUUUUGAGGGGGAAGAGGAAGGACGGUACCCUUCGAAUAAGUCUCGGCUAACUACGUGCCAGCAGCCGCGGUAAAACGUAGGAGGCGAGCGUUAUCCGGAUUUACUGGGUGUAAAGCGCGUGCAGGCGGUGGAGCAAGUUGCCUGUGAAAGCGCCCGGCUCAACCGGGCGAGGACGGGCGAGACUGCGCUGCUGGAGGCAGGUAGAGGUGUGUGGAAUUCCGGGUGUAGUGGUGAAAUGCGUAGAGAUCCGGAGGAACACCAGUGGCGAAGGCGACACACUAGGCCUGGCCUGACGCUCAGACGCGAAGGCAUGGGGAGCGAACGG